CAAUACUGCAGAGAUGGGCCAAGCAGAUGAAAUCUGAUUAAGGAAUGUUUCCCUUAAAGGGUAGAAUCCUUCUAUUUGAGUGGCUGGAUCUCUGCAAAGGAAGAAACAGUGCCCAGUAUGAGAGAGUAGCACAAUUCUUCUCAGAAGAACUGAAGGUAACCCACUUCAGAAAGCUUUAAGCUGGAGGAAUGCUUUGAAAGAAAAUAUGUGAGAUGUAUUAUUCAAGUUGGGAAUUUCACCUGUGCUCUGGAGGACUCCUGACAUCUUUAAUCUGAGAGUGGGAAGCUCAGCAGAAUUCUAUUCCUUUCACUUUGUCCUAAUAUUAAGAGUUCUUCAGAAGAGAAUACUGAGCCGACUUUUUGCUGGAUCACUCUACAGAUUAUGUUUUAGAGCAGUAAAUAUUGUUCUCAUGGAACUCAAACCCAAAACAAUAAACAUUUUCCCUAA
Molecule: long non-coding RNA, 447 nt
Filed under: Parus major (Great Tit)
Lineage: Eukaryota; Metazoa; Chordata; Aves; Passeriformes; Paridae
Description: lncRNA (ENSPMJG00000004538.1)
Source: RNAcentral